Molecule: ribosomal RNA, 523 nt
Filed under: uncultured bacterium
Lineage: Bacteria
Description: bacterial SSU rRNA
Rfam family: Bacterial small subunit ribosomal RNA
Source: RNAcentral
UAGGGAAUCUUGCGCAAUGGGGGAAACCCUGACGCAGCCAUGCCGCGUGAAUGAUGAAGGUCUUAGGAUUGUAAAAUUCUUUCAGCGGGGAAGAUAAUGACUGUACCCGCAGAAGAAGCUCCGGCUAACUUCGUGCCAGCAGCCGCGGUAAUACGAAGGGGGCUAGCGUUGCUCGGAAUUACUGGGCGUAAAGGGCGCGUAGGCGGGUGUUUAAGUCAGAGGUUAAAUCCCAGGGCUCAACCCUGGAACUGCCUUUGAUACUGGGCACCUAGAGUUCGGGAGAGGUGUGUGGAACUCCGAGUGUAGAGGUGAAAUUCGUAGAUAUUCGGAAGAACACCAGUGGCGAAGGCGACACACUGGCCCGAUACUGACGCUGAGGCGCGAAAGCGUGGGGAGCAAACAGGAUUAGAUACCCUGGUAGUCCACGCCGUAAACGAUGAGUGCUAGUUGUCGGCAUGCAUGCAUGUCGGUGACGCAGCUAACGCAUUAAGCACUCCGCCUGGGGAGUACGGUCGCAAGAUUA